This 497-nucleotide ribosomal RNA is filed under the name uncultured bacterium. RNAcentral's name for it is "partial 16S ribosomal RNA". It matches the Rfam family "Bacterial small subunit ribosomal RNA", at positions 28 to 507 of the family's 1533-position model. The record is from RNAcentral.
GAUGAACGCUGGCGGCGUGCCUAAUACAUGCAAGUCGAGCGAACAGACGAGGAGCUUGCUCCUCUGACGUUAGCGGCGGACGGGUGAGUAACACGUGGAUAACCUACCUAUAAGACUGGGAUAACUUCGGGAAACCGGAGCUAAUACCGGAUAAUAUAUUGAACCGCAUGGUUCAAUAGUGAAAGACGGUUUUGCUGUCACUUAUAGAUGGAUCCGCGCCGCAUUAGCUAGUUGGUAAGGUAACGGCUUACCAAGGCAACGAUGCGUAGCCGACCUGUGAGGGUGAUCGGCCACACUGGAGCUGAGACACGGUCCAGGCUCCUACGGGAGGCAGCAGUAGGGAAUCUUCCGCAAUGGGCGAAAACCUGGCGGAGCAGCGCCACGUGAGUGAUGAAGGUCUUCGGAUCGUAAAGCUCUGUUAUUAGGGAAGAACAAAUGUGUAAGUAACUAUGCACGUCUUGACGGUACCUAAUCAGAAAGCCACGGCUAACUACGUG